RNAcentral lists this ribosomal RNA (618 nucleotides) under uncultured bacterium. RNAcentral's name for it is "bacterial SSU rRNA". The stretch from base 1 to 534 matches the Rfam family "Bacterial small subunit ribosomal RNA", at positions 338 to 873 of the family's 1533-position model. The record is from RNAcentral.
CCUACGGGAGGCAGCAGUAAGGAAUAUUGGUCAAUGGACGCAAGUCUGAACCAGCCAUGCCGCGUGAAGGAUUAAGGUCCUCUGGAUUGUAAACUUCUUUUAUUUGGGACGAAAAAGGGCCUUUCUAGGUCAACUGACGGUACCAGAUGAAUAAGCACCGGCUAACUCCGUGCCAGCAGCCGCGGUAAUACGGAGGGUGCAAGCGUUAUCCGGAUUCACUGGGUUUAAAGGGUGCGUAGGCGGGUAGGUAAGUCAGUGGUGAAAUCCUAGAGCUUAACUCUAGAACUGCCAUUGAUACUAUCUAUCUUGAAUAUUGUGGAGGUAAGCGGAAUAUGUCAUGUAGCGGUGAAAUGCUUAGAUAUGACAUAGAACACCUAUUGCGAAGGCAGCUUACUACGCAUAUAUUGACGCUGAGGCACGAAAGCGUGGGGAUCAAACAGGAUUAGAUACCCUGGUAGUCCACGCCCUAAACUAUGAUUACUCGACAUUUGAGAUACACAUUAAGUGUCUGAGAGAAGANAUAAGUAAUACACCUAGGAGUACGUCCGCGAGAGAGAACGACAAAGAAGUAGUAGACGNGAGAGACGACGACGACGGACGACGACGGGAGGGAGGAGG